This 833-nucleotide ribosomal RNA is filed under the name Micromonospora sp. RM551. It matches the Rfam family "Bacterial small subunit ribosomal RNA", at positions 75 to 923 of the family's 1533-position model. Lineage: Bacteria; Bacillati; Actinomycetota; Actinomycetes; Micromonosporales; Micromonosporaceae. The record is from RNAcentral.
GCCCUUCGGGGUACUCGAGCGGCGAACGGGUGAGUAACACGUGAGCAACCUGCCCCAGGCUUUGGGAUAACCCCGGGAAACCGGGGCUAAUACCGAAUAUGACCUCUGACCGCAUGGUUGGUGGUGGAAAGUUUUUCGGCUUGGGAUGGGCUCGCGGCCUAUCAGCUUGUUGGUGGGGUGAUGGCCUACCAAGGCGACGACGGGUAGCCGGCCUGAGAGGGCGACCGGCCACACUGGGACUGAGACACGGCCCAGACUCCUACGGGAGGCAGCAGUGGGGAAUAUUGCACAAUGGGCGGAAGCCUGAUGCAGCGACGCCGCGUGAGGGAUGACGGCCUUCGGGUUGUAAACCUCUUUCAGCAGGGACGAAGCGUAAGUGACGGUACCUGCAGAAGAAGCGCCGGCCAACUACGUGCCAGCAGCCGCGGUAAGACGUAGGGCGCGAGCGUUGUCCGGAUUUAUUGGGCGUAAAGAGCUCGUAGGCGGCUUGUCGCGUCGACCGUGAAAACUUGGGGCUCAACCCCAAGCCUGCGGUCGAUACGGGCAGGCUAGAGUUCGGUAGGGGAGACUGGAAUUCCUGGUGUAGCGGUGAAAUGCGCAGAUAUCAGGAGGAACACCGGUGGCGAAGGCGGGUCUCUGGGCCGAUACUGACGCUGAGGAGCGAAAGCGUGGGGAGCGAACAGGAUUAGAUACCCUGGUAGUCCACGCUGUAAACGUUGGGCGCUAGGUGUGGGGGGCCUCUCCGGUUCCCUGUGCCGCAGCUAACGCAUUAAGCGCCCCGCCUGGGGAGUACGGCCGCAAGGCUAAAACUCAAAGGAAUUGACGGGGGCCCG